This 490-nucleotide ribosomal RNA is filed under the name uncultured bacterium. RNAcentral's name for it is "bacterial SSU rRNA". It matches the Rfam family "Bacterial small subunit ribosomal RNA", at positions 903 to 1397 of the family's 1533-position model. The record is from RNAcentral.
AAAGGAAUAGACGGGGACCCGCACAAGCGGUGGAUGAUGUGGAUUAAUUCGAUGCAACGCGAAGAACCUUACCUACCCUUGACAUGUCUGGAAUCCCGAAGAGAUUUGGGAGUGCCCGAAAGGGAACCGGAACACAGGUGCUGCAUGGCUGUCGUCAGCUCGUGUCGUGAGAUGUUGGGUUAAGUCCCGCAACGAGCGCAACCCUUGUCAUUAGUUGCUACGAAAGGGCACUCUGAUGAGACUGCCGGUGACAAACCGGAGGAAGGUGGGGAUGACGUCAAGUCCUCAUGGCCCUUACGGGUAGGGCUUCACACGUCAUACAAUGGGCGGUACAAAGGGCAGCCAACCCGCGAGGGGGAGCCAAUCCUGAAAAGCCGUUCGUAGUCCGGAUCGCAGUCUGCAACUCGACUGCGUGAAGUCGGAAUCGCUAGUAAUCGCGGAUCAGCAUGUCGCGGUGAAUACGUUCCCGGGUCUUGUACACACCGCCCGU